UAAGCAUAUCAAUAAGCGGAGGAAAAGAAACCAACCGGGAUUGCCUCAGUAACGGCGAGUGAAGCGGCAAGAGCUCAAAUUUGAAAUCUGGCCCUUUGAGGGUCCGAGUUGUAAUUUGCAGAGGAUGCUUCGGGUGCGGUCCCCGUCUAAGUGCCCUGGAACGGGCCGUCAUAGAGGGUGAGAAUCCCGUCUGGGAUGGGCGGCCGCGCCCGUGUGAAGCGCCUUCGACGAGUCGAGUUGUUUGGGAAUGCAGCUCUAAGUGGGUGGUAAAUUUCAUCUAAAGCUAAAUACUGGCCGGAGACCGAUAGCGCACAAGUAGAGUGAUCGAAAGAUGAAAAGCACUUUGAAAAGAGAGUUAAACAGCACGUGAAAUUGUUGAAAGGGAAGCGUUGUCCACCAGACUCGCCCGGGGAGGCUCAGCCGGCACUUGUGCCGGUGUACUCUUCCUCGGGCGGGCCAGCAUCGGUUUGGGCGGCUGGUGAAAGGCCCUGGGAAUGUAACACCCUCCGGGGUGCCUUAUAGCCCAGGGUGUCAUGCGGCCAGCCUGGACCGAGGCCCGCGCUUCGGCGAGGAUGCUGGCGUAAUGGUGGUCAACGGCCCGUCUUGAAACACGGACCAAGGAGUCUAACAUCUAUGCGAGUGUUCGGGUGUCAAACCCGUCCGCGCAGUGAAAGCGAACGGAGGUGGGAGCCCCUCGGGGUGCACCAUCGACCGAUCCUGAAGUCUUCGGAUGGAUUUGAGUAAGAGCAUAGCUGUUGGGACCCGAAAGAUGGUGAACUAUGCCUGAAUAGGGCGAAGCCAGAGGAAACUCUGGUGGAGGCUCGCAGCGGUUCUGACGUGCAAAUCGAUCGUCAAAUUUGGGUAUAGGGGCGAAAGACUAAUCGAACCAUCUGGUAGCUGGUUCCUGCCGAA
Molecule: ribosomal RNA, 912 nt
Filed under: Talaromyces varians
Lineage: Eukaryota; Fungi; Ascomycota; Eurotiomycetes; Eurotiales; Trichocomaceae
Description: LSU rRNA
Rfam family: Eukaryotic large subunit ribosomal RNA
Source: RNAcentral